This 457-nucleotide long non-coding RNA is filed under the name Numida meleagris (helmeted guineafowl). Its description in RNAcentral is "lncRNA (ENSNMEG00000015030.1)". The record is from RNAcentral. Lineage: Eukaryota; Metazoa; Chordata; Aves; Galliformes; Numididae.
ACGGUCUGAGAGGAGGACUAAGGCGCGAGCGCAGAUGUGGUGGUUCAUCAUCACAGAGAAGCAUUUGAAUUUUAUCUUUUUUUCAAAACUGAACUGCUUUCCCACUACUUUCAACUUGAAACAAACUUUGGCCGGCUAGCUGUGCUGCUAUGGAAGUCUUUUGUAUCCAUCUCACUCAGUGGGAAACAGCAGGAUCAAACUUCUCUGCAAAAGGUAAGAUAUAAGAUCAUGGGAAAGGAACAUUAAGGAAUAAUGUGUAGAAUCAGACUGAAAUGCAGAAAGCAUUCUGUAUUAGUUGAUAGCUGAAGCUAUCAAAUUAUCAUCUGAGAUGCUUUAAAUACGAAUAUGCAAAACAAAAGGAAGCAUUUGGGUGUACAAACACUAGCUGUAGCCUGCCUGACUGCACUUCAUAAGGCAUGCAAAUAAACAAUUUUUCUGAAAAUUUACUAAGAUUUCA